Molecule: ribosomal RNA, 713 nt
Filed under: uncultured bacterium
Lineage: Bacteria
Description: bacterial SSU rRNA
Rfam family: Bacterial small subunit ribosomal RNA
Source: RNAcentral
AUUAGAGUUUGAUCCUGGCUCAGGACGAACGCUGGCGGCGUGCCUAACACAUGCAAGUCGAACGGAGGAUACGAGGAAGCUUGCGAAUCAUAUCCUUAGUGGCGGACGGGUGAGUAACGCGUGGGCAACCAACCCAAAACACCGGGACAACCCUGGGAAACUAGGGCUAAUACCGGAUACCUUCCUUGGGAGGCAUCUCCCGAAGAAGAAAGGCAGCCUCUGAAAAUGCAGCCGAUUAUGGACGGACCCGCGUCUGAUUAGCUAGUUGGUAGAGUAACGGCCUACCAAGGCAACGAUCAGUAGCCGGCCUGAGAGGGUGGCCGGCCACACUGGGACUGAGACACGGCCCAGACUCCUACGGGAGGCAGCAGUGGGGAAUAUUGCGCAAUGGGCGAAAGCCUGACGCAGCAACGCCGCGUGAGUGACGAAGGCCUUCGGGUUGUAAAGCUCUGUCUACCGGGACGAAGACUUAAUGGUUAAUAGCCAAAAAGAUGACGGUACCGGAAGAGGAAGCCCCGGCUAACUACGUGCCAGCAGCCGCGGUAAAACGUAGGGGGCAAGCGUUGUCCGGAAUUACUGGGCGUAAAGCGCGUGUAGGCGGAAACUUAAGUCAGAUGUGAAAACUCGGGGCUCAACCCCGAGCCGGCAUCUGAAACUGGGUUUCUUGAGGGUGGGAGAGGAAAGCGGAAUUCCUAGUGUAGCGGUGAAAUGCG